Molecule: long non-coding RNA, 807 nt
Filed under: Callithrix jacchus (white-tufted-ear marmoset)
Lineage: Eukaryota; Metazoa; Chordata; Mammalia; Primates; Cebidae
Description: lncRNA (ENSCJAG00000075879.1)
Source: RNAcentral
UGGUACCCAUAGACUUCUAUAGUCUUUGCCAUUCCGAAGUGAAAUCCUGCAGGAAAAUGUGCUACAUUUUGGUUAUUUCUGUUAUAUCACAAGGUGGGCUGGAUAGCAAGUUUUGGAAGCACUGAACACCCACACAGAGCUGGCUACUCUCAGGAGAGGAGGCAUCUUCACUAAGGAGAUAAAUUUGGAAAGAACACGAACUCACAAACACCUACAUACACGAAUUGCACACAGGCAUAGGGCAGCAUGGAAAACCACAGGCAGCAAAAUCAUACUUGCAAAGACUUGAUUUUGGAAUUAUUAGUAAGGCAAGUAAAAAAAUAAUUUUAUAAUACGUUUAACGAAAAGGUCAUUUAAUGUAUCAUCUUUGUAUUUCCCAAAUACUUGCAUAUAGGGAUUACUCAAGCCAUAUUAGUUGGCCAAAUGAAAAAUCCAGAUAACUGCUUCUUUAAUAGAGAGCAUCAAAGUAGCUAAUUACCUUUUCCCAGCAGCAAUCAGUUGGCAUCAAGGAGCAUAUUAUCCUGAAAGUUAGUAAUCUUAUAGCCUUUUCGAGCCUGGUAGAGCAGCUCUUCACACUAAAAGGAUUAUUCCUUCACAGAGUUAAAUAUUGAAGGGAUGUUCUGGAGGAGCUGGUCUCUUUGUUAUUCUGGGCCAUGCAUCUAUUAAUCUGAAAGACUUUCUUUAGAACUUUGGCAUAAGCUACUUAGUCACUUGGUAGCAGAAGAGCAAGAAUGGAUGGCUGCCCAGGCAUACAAGAAAUCCAAAAGUUCAUGAUUGUUAGAAAUAAUACAUCUUUUUCCCUAAAAU